This 746-nucleotide long non-coding RNA is filed under the name Homo sapiens (human). Its description in RNAcentral is "long non-coding RNA NONHSAT243253". Lineage: Eukaryota; Metazoa; Chordata; Mammalia; Primates; Hominidae. The record is from RNAcentral.
ACAUUUAGCCCCAGUCCAACUUGGGAAUUCUAAACACUUGGAACAAUUAUACUCAGUUUAGUCUAGUCCUUUCUUUGGAGUUGAAACCAGUUGAAACUCCUGCUGCACUCUAAAGAGCUCUUGUCCAGGAGAUGCAGCCUGUGAUUCUUGUUGGAACACACAUCUGUUUCUGGCUGGCCAAAUCCAAAAGUGGAAUCCCAAUUGCAGUUUUCAUGGGUGGCAGAAUUUCAACUUCAUUAUAAUGUAACCACCUGGGUUGCCUUCACUUUUCUUUUUCUUCUUAAGGAUGAAAUAGGCAGAUAAGUAUUCAUUCAGCUAUUAAAUUACAUUUCCAUCCUGUAACGUCUUAUUUCCUUUUUCUCUGGUGAAAUAUAUUGACUUGAUGGAUUAUCUGCAGUGUCAUUUCUUAUAUAGACCUCACAAUUUUAACUUUCAGAGUUUCUUCCAGUCAUUUGCGGAUGUGGUUUUAGCUUUGUAAGAUUUUAUUUUACCCCAAACAACAAACAGCAAAACAAAAAUUACUAGAUGGUUUUGAUUUAACAACAAUCUCUUGGAUGAAAAGUAAGCAAGAUAUUUAAAUGAAUGGAAAGAAAUUGACUUCUUAAAAAAUUGAAUUGGAGCCUGAAACUUGUGAAACAUAAAAAAUAAAAUGCUUCUCUGGCAAACAAGUUGUAAUAUGAUUAGCUUGAACCGGGAAGCUGAAAGUAUUAUUCUGGCCACCAGGGGGAGCACAUAUUGUUCCAGGA